UCCCUGGUGGUCUGGUGGUUAAGACUCUGCUCUUUCACUGCAAGGGCCUGGGUUCAAUCCCUGGUCGGGGAA
Molecule: transfer RNA, 72 nt
Filed under: Ovis aries (sheep)
Lineage: Eukaryota; Metazoa; Chordata; Mammalia; Artiodactyla; Bovidae
Rfam family: tRNA
About the family: Transfer RNA (tRNA) molecules are approximately 80 nucleotides in length. Their secondary structure includes four short double-helical elements and three loops (D, anti-codon, and T loops).
Source: Rfam by way of RNAcentral